UACAGAGGGUGCUAGCGUUGUUCGGAAUCAUUGGGCGUAAAGGGCGUGUAGGCGGUUUGUUAAGUCAUGUGUGAAAUCCCUCGGCUCAACCGGGGAACGACGCAUGAAACUGGCAAGCUAGAGUACCAAAGAGGGGGGUGGAAUUCCCGGUGUAGCGGUGAAAUGCGUAGAUAUCUGCAGGAACACCCGUGGCGAAAGCGGCGCGCUGGACCACUACUGACGCUGAGGAACGAAAGCUAGGGGAGCAAACAGG
This 253-nucleotide ribosomal RNA is filed under the name uncultured bacterium. Its description in RNAcentral is "partial 16S ribosomal RNA". It matches the Rfam family "Bacterial small subunit ribosomal RNA", at positions 524 to 776 of the family's 1533-position model. The record is from RNAcentral.